Molecule: ribosomal RNA, 468 nt
Filed under: uncultured bacterium
Lineage: Bacteria
Description: partial 16S ribosomal RNA
Rfam family: Bacterial small subunit ribosomal RNA
Source: RNAcentral
GACGAACGCUGGCGGCGUGCUUAACACAUGCAAGUCGAACGGAAAGGCCCUGCUUUUGUGGGGUGCUCGAUUGGCGAACGGGUGAGUAACACGUGAGUAACCUGCCCUUGACUUUGGGAUAACUUCAGGAAACUGGGGCUAAUACCGGAUAGGAGCUCCUGCUGCGUGGGGGGGGUAGGAAAGUUCGGGCGGUUUGGGCUGGUCUGGCGGCUUAUCCGCUUGUUGGUGGGGUAGGGGAUUACCAAGGCUUUGAAGGGUAGCCUGCCUGGGAGGGGGACCGGCGUCAUUGGGACUGCGAGACGGCCCAGACGCCUACGGGCGGCAGCAGUGGGGAAUAUUGCACAAUGGGCGGGAGUCUGAUGCAGCAACGCCGCGUGCGGAAUGCCGGCUUUCGGGGUGUAAACCGCUUUCUCCGGUGAUGAAGAGUGAGUGACGGUAAUGGGUAAAGAAGCCCCGGCUAACUACGUG